GCUUGCUUCAGCAUCGCAUAUACUAAAAUUGGAAUGAUACAGAGAAGAUUAGCAUGGACCCUGUGCAAGGAUGCAACGCAAAUUUGUGAAGUGUUCCAUACUUUU
Small nuclear RNA from Sorex fumeus (smoky shrew), 105 nucleotides. Lineage: Eukaryota; Metazoa; Chordata; Mammalia; Eulipotyphla; Soricidae. The record is from RefSeq and is a predicted model, not a curated record.